GCUUUUAAAGGAUAACAGUCUUCCAUCGGCUUUAGGAGCCGAGCAUCUU
Molecule: transfer RNA, 49 nt
Filed under: Crocodylus niloticus (Nile crocodile)
Lineage: Eukaryota; Metazoa; Chordata; Crocodylia; Crocodylidae
Description: partial tRNA-Leu
Source: RNAcentral